UGUGUCAUUGCGCUAUAUCCACGAACAAAGUUUGGUAGCGUUUGCGUUCUUUUUCUUCUUCUAUUUUUUGACCUGAGGAGAGUGUCCUAUUGUAGCCAGUUUGUAUUAGUGUUUGCAUUGAUAACGUCAAUAACGUUCCUCAAAACGCACUCUUUAUAUCUAGGAUCAUGACAAUUUUUGUGUGGCGGCCUUAAAGCAUUUGCAAAUGGUUGCUAUGUGACAAUUGAACUAACUCUCUAUAAUAUUAUGUAUUUAUGCUUAACGUGUUUAUACGUGUGUAUAUUGGCCAUUGUAUAACUGUACUUAUAUAUCAACGUGUAAACGUUUACACAACGAAGUAAAAACGUGAUUUUUUAAGCCACUCAUAGUUUUGCAGUUUAAAAAUUUCAAAGGUAUGUUUACAUAAAUGUGAAGGAAUCGCAAGAAUCUUCGUGUGGCUGGUAAGCAUUGGAAAUUGCAUUCGUGUUCAUCCUUGUGGCAAUAUAAUAUCUUACCAAUUAUAUACAAUUAUAUUUUAUUUUACGUCUAUAGCACGUCUUUACAACAUAUCGGUUUUUACAAUUACAUCUACUAUAAAGAAGCUGGUUUGCUUACAUAGUUUAGAACAUGAUUGUUAAAUACAAAAUAACCUUGUUCUAAGAAGGUUAAACGGUCAAUUGAUACGACGUAUAAUAUCCGGGAUAUAAAUUUAUCGUGUCUUACAUAAUAAGUCGCAAUCGUUAUACGGAUAAACUAUCAGCUUUUUAACAUGUGGGUAUAUUGCUAUUAAGCCAAAUGGAGGAGACUUAACCGGAGAAUUGCAAUCAAUUGAGUUUAUUCUGAAUCAUGUCGUACUAUGAAGAUGUUAUUCUGGAAGCUAAAGAAAAAGAAGAAAAUUUGUCAGGAGAUUUAGGUGUAAGACAUCGUAUUCCAUGGAGUGAUCGUGUAUUAUUAAAUAGUGAAAUACCUGGUUUACAUGAAGUUAAAGAAUUAUUGGACGAUGAUGAUGCUAGUUGUUUGGCAGAAGAAGAAGAUGGAGCUGGGUGUCCUUUGCCCUCAACUCCGGAAGAUGAUCAUCUCCUGGAUUGUGAGAUGACUGAAGUAUUGAAAGCAGGUGUAUUGAGCGAUGAAAUAGAUUUAGGAGCAUUAGCGCAUAAUGCAGCAGAACAGGCUGAAGAAUUUGUUCGAAAGGUAUGGGAGGCAUCCUGGAAACAAUGUCACUUUAGAAAUCUGCCAAGAUGGUUGCAAGAUAACGACUUCUUACACGCCGGCCACAGGCCACCGCUACCUUCGUUUUAUGCGUGCUUUAAAAGUAUUUUUCGAAUUCAUACUGAAACUGGCAAUAUCUGGACACAUUUGUUAGGCUGCGUUGCCUUUAUUGGUAUAGCUAUAUUUUUUCUAACACAACCUCCUAUAGAAAUUCAAUUGGAAGAAAAAUUGGUAUUUGGUACCUUCUUUGCUGGUGCUAUAAUUUGCCUAGGAAUGUCGUUUGCCUUUCACACAGUUCAUUGCCACAGCGAAUGUGUUGGAAAGCUAUUUUCAAAGUUAGAUUAUUGUGGCAUAGCUAUGCUUAUUAUGGGUAGUUUUGUACCAUGGCUUUAUUACGGAUUUUAUUGCGACUAUCAACCUAAACUAAUUUAUCUGUCUGUGGUGGUUGUCCUUGGUAUAACCAGUAUCGUAGUAUCAUUGUGGGAGCGAUUUGGUGAACCAAAUUAUCGUCCACUCAGAGCAGGAGUUUUUAUGGGAUUUGGUCUUAGUGGGGUAAUACCAGCAGUACAUUAUGCUGUUGCUGAAGGUUGGUUUAAGGCGAUUAGUCAAGCAUCCCUUGGAUGGUUAAUACUAAUGGGAUGUUUGUACAUAUUAGGUGCAUUGUUUUAUGCUUUAAGGGUACCUGAACGUUUCUUUCCAGGAAAAUUUGAUAUUUGGUUUCAGAGUCACCAAAUCUUCCAUGUAUUAGUGAUUGCUGCUGCUUUUGUUCAUUAUCAUGGUAUUACGGAAAUGGCAAUGCAUAGAAUGACAAUAGGCGACUGCACAAAUCCGUCGCAAGUGUUAGCUUUUUAAAUCUGCAGGUGUAUAUCCUCAUCUUGUUGAUAACUUUCAUCUCAUUACAUAACCGAUACAGGAAAAGACUUCAAGGAUUCCUAAAUCUUACGCCUUAGUGAAUCUGUGCUGUUCUUGUAUAAUUUUCAACAUUGCUAAACUUAUCUUGGACGAUGGUUGUCAAAAUCGUCUUUUCUCCAUUAUACCAGUUAUACCAUUUAUUACGGGAUAUACUAUUUAUUACGGGAUACUCUAUGUACACAAGAUAUUUAUUUUUUUAGUUUAUCUUAGAAUACUAUUGAAAAUGUU
This 2328-nucleotide unclassified non-coding RNA is filed under the name Harpegnathos saltator (Jerdon's jumping ant). RNAcentral describes it as "adiponectin receptor protein, transcript variant X5". Lineage: Eukaryota; Metazoa; Arthropoda; Insecta; Hymenoptera; Formicidae. The record is from RNAcentral.